RNAcentral lists this non-coding RNA (793 nucleotides) under Myrmecocephalus concinnus. Lineage: Eukaryota; Metazoa; Arthropoda; Insecta; Coleoptera; Staphylinidae. The record is from RNAcentral.
AAAAAAUUUUAUUUUUGUUUGGAUAAUGAAUGUAUUUAUUUUUUACAUGUAAAUUUUAGUAUUUUUGUUUAUUAUAUUAAAAAUAUAAUAAAAUUUAGUAUAUAUAUAAAUUUAUUCGCAGUAUUUAAUUUUAAAUAUUAAAGAAAUUUAGAUUUAGAAAUAAAUAAUAAUAUUAACUUAAUUUGUGCCAGCAGUUGCGGUUAUACAAAUAAUGUAAUUUAUUAUUUUUAAUUAAUAAUUAAUUGAUUUUUUUUUAUAAUAUAGUAUAAAUUAUUAAGUGAAAUUUUAAUUUAUAAAAAAUAUAAAUAUUAAGAUUAUGAAGUUAUUAAAUUUUAAAAAAAACUAGGAUUAGAUACCCUAUUAUAAAAAUGUAAAUUAAUAAUAUUAAAUUAUUAAUAGAUAUAAUCUUUAAAGUUAAAAAUUUUGGCGGUAUUUUAGUCUAUUCAGAGGAACUUGUCCUAUAAUUGAUAAUCCACGAUUAGAAAUACUUAUUUAAUUAAUUUGUAUAUCAUCGUAGUUGAAUAUUUUAUAAGAAAAAUCAUAUUCAUAAUUUUUUAUAAAAAUAAAAAUCAGAUCAAGGUGCAGUUUAUAGAUAAGAAGAGAUGAGUUACAAUAAUUAUAUUAAUGGAUAAAUAACUUUAAAAUUUUUUUGAAAUUGGAUUUGAAUGUAAUAAAAUUUAUUUAGAUUUUAUGAUUUAAGCUCUAAAAUAUGCACAUAUCGCCCGUCGCUCUCAAUUUUAUUUGAGAUAAGUCGUAACAAAGUAAAUGUACUGGAAAGUGUAUUUAGAUUACA